Molecule: ribosomal RNA, 253 nt
Filed under: uncultured bacterium
Lineage: Bacteria
Description: partial 16S ribosomal RNA
Rfam family: Bacterial small subunit ribosomal RNA
Source: RNAcentral
UACGGGGGGGGCAAGCGUUGUUCGGAAUUACUGGGCGUAAAGGGCUCGUAGGCGGCCAACUAAGUCGGAUGUGAAAUCCCCAAGCUUAACUUGGGAACUGCAUCCGAUACUGGAUGGCUUGAAUCCGGGAGAGGGAUGCAGAAUUCCAGGUGUAGCGGUGAAAUGCGUAGAUAUCAGGAGGAACAUCGAUGGCGAAGGCAGCCCCUUGGACCUGUACUGACGCUCAUGCACGAAAGCGUGGGGAGCAAACAGG